Molecule: non-coding RNA, 110 nt
Organism: Podarcis lilfordi (Lilford's wall lizard)
Lineage: Eukaryota; Metazoa; Chordata; Lepidosauria; Squamata; Lacertidae
Source: the annotation of a GenBank genome assembly
AAUAUACAGGAUUCUUCCAAGAUCCUGUAAUUAGAAUGAGUGCACUUCAUAUCAUUUAAUGAAGAUCCGUUGGAGGGCAAGCCUGGUGGCAGCUGCCGUGGUAAUUCCAG